AAAGUAGCUUGCUACUCGAGCUUAGUGGCGGAAGGGUUAGUAAUACAUGGGUAACCUACCUCUAACUUGGGAAUAACGGCUGGAAACGGCCGCUAAUACCGAAUGUGGUGGGAAGUGGCAUCACUUCUUCAUUAAAGUGGGGGAUCGUAAGACCUCGCGGUUAGAGAGGGGCCCAUGGGAUAUCAGCUUGUUGGUAAGGUAACGGCUUACCAAGGCUAAGACGUCUAGGCGGAUUGAGAGAUUGACCGCCAACACUGGGACUGAGACACUGCCCAGACUCCUACGGGAGGCUGCAGUCGAGAAUCAUUCGCAAUGGGCGAAAGCCUGACGAUGCGACGCUGCGUGAGUGACGAAGGCCCUCGGGUCGUAAAACUCUUUCGCCAGGGAAUAAGGGAGGAUGGCUAACAUCCAUCCGACUUGAAUGUACCUGGUAAAGAAGCACCGGCUAACUCCGUGCCAGCAGCUGCGGUAAUACGGAGGGUGCAAGCAUUAAUCGGAUUUAUUGGGCGUAAAGGGGGCGCAGGCGGGAAAGCCAGUCAGAUGUGAAAUUCCGGGGCUCAACCUCGGAGCUGCAUUUGAAACUACUUUUCUUGAGGAUAGGCGGAGAAAACGGAAUUCCACAAGUAGCGGUGAAAUGCGUAGAUAUGUGGAAGAACACCCGUGGCGAAAGCGGUUUUCUAGCUUAUUCCUGACGCUGAGGCCCGAAAGCUAGGGGAGCGAACAGGAUUAGAUACCCUGGUAGUCCUAGCCGUAAACGAUGUGUACUUGGUGUAGCUAGUCUCAACCCCAGCUGUGCCGGAGCUAACGCGUUAAGUAUGCCGCCUGGGGAGUACGCCCGCAAGGGUGAAACUCAAAAGAAUUGACGGGGGCCCGCACAAGCAGUGGAGCAUGUGGUUUAAUUCGAUGCUACGCGAAGAACCUUACCCAGGCUUGACAUGCAGAGGACCGCUCCAGAGACGGAGCUUCCCUUCGGGGCCUUUGCACAGGUGCUGCAUGGCUGUCGUCAGCUCGUGCCGUGAGGUGUUGGGUUAAGUCCCGCAACGAGCGCAACCCUUAUCAUUAGUUGCCAGCAUUUCGGAUGGGGACUCUAAUGAGACUGCCUAGGUUAACUAGGAGGAAGGUGAGGAUGACGUCAAGUCCGCAUGGCCCUUAUGUCUGGGGCUACACACGUGCUACAAUGGCCGGUACGAGGGCAAGCAAAACCGCGAGGUCAAGCAAAUCCCAGAAAGCCGGUCCCAGUUCGGAUUGUAGUCUGCAACUCGACUACAUGAAGUUGGAAUUGCUAGUAAUGGCGUGUCAGCUAUAACGCCGUGAAUCGUUCCCGGGUCUUGUACACACCGCCCGUCACAUCAUGGAAGUUGGUCUUACCCGACGUCGCUGACUCAACCGCAAGGAGAGAAGCGCCUAAGGUGAGG
RNAcentral lists this ribosomal RNA (1415 nucleotides) under uncultured prokaryote. Its description in RNAcentral is "partial 16S ribosomal RNA". It matches the Rfam family "Bacterial small subunit ribosomal RNA". The record is from RNAcentral.